Molecule: ribosomal RNA, 454 nt
Filed under: uncultured bacterium
Lineage: Bacteria
Description: partial 16S ribosomal RNA
Rfam family: Bacterial small subunit ribosomal RNA
Source: RNAcentral
GAUGAACGCUGACAGAAUGCUUAACACAUGCAAGUCUACUUGAACUUCGGUUUGGGUGGCGGACGGGUGAGUAACGCGUAAAGAACUUGCCUCACAGUUAGGGACAACAUUUGGAAACGAACGCUAAUACCUGAUAUUAUGAUUUUAGGGCAUCCUAGGAUUAUGAAAGCUAUAUGUGCUGUGAGAGAGCUUUGCGUCCCAUUAGCUAGUUGGAGAGGUAACGGCUCACCAAGGCGAUGAUGGGUAGCCGGCCUGAGAGGGUGAACGGCCACAAGGGGACUGAGACACGGCCCUUACUCCUACGGGAGGCAGCAGUGGGGAAUAUUGGACAAUGGACCAAAAGUCUGAUCCAGCAAUUCUGUGUGCACGAUGACGUUUUUCGGAAUGUAAAGUGCUUUCAGUUGGGAAGAAAAAAAUGACGGUACCAACAGAAGAAGUGACGGCUAAAUACGUG